GGGCCCGCACAAGCGGUGGAGUAUGUGGUUUAAUUCGAUGCAACGCGAAGAACCUUACCAGGGUUUGACAUCCUGCGAAUCUCUUGGAAACGAGAGAGUGCCUUCGGGAGCGCAGUGACAGGUGGUGCAUGGCUGUCGUCAGCUCGUGUCGUGAGAUGUUGGGUUAAGUCCCGCAACGAGCGCAACCCACGUCUUUAGUUGCCAGCAUUUAGUUGGGCACUCUAGAGAGACCGCCGGUGAUAAACCGGAGGAAGGUGUGGAUGACGUCAAGUCAUCAUGCCCCUUACAUCCUGGGCUACACACGUACUACAAUGCUACGGACAAAGAGCAGCAAGUUCGCGAGGACAAGCAAAUCUCAAAAACCUAAUCUUAGUUCGGAUUGCAGGCUGCAACUCGCCUGCAUGAAGUUGGAAUCGCUAGUAA
This 423-nucleotide ribosomal RNA is filed under the name uncultured bacterium. RNAcentral's name for it is "bacterial SSU rRNA". It matches the Rfam family "Bacterial small subunit ribosomal RNA", at positions 917 to 1341 of the family's 1533-position model. The record is from RNAcentral.